RNAcentral lists this unclassified non-coding RNA (521 nucleotides) under Hevea brasiliensis (rubber tree). Lineage: Eukaryota; Viridiplantae; Streptophyta; Magnoliopsida; Malpighiales; Euphorbiaceae. The record is from RNAcentral.
UAAAAUUAUUAAUUAUAUUCGCGAAUACACAUGAUCCUGGUAAGAAUUAUUACAAAUAUUAACAAAUAAAAAAUCAAAAUCAAAAUACCCUCUUCAAGAUCUCCUCAAUCCUAUUAAAAUACCAUUAUUACAUUCUCUUCCUCUCACUAGGAGGAAAUACAUAAAAUGUGUAACAGCCUAGUUAUCUAGCCGAAUCAUAUGUAAAUAGGUCUACAAUUACAUUCAGGGGAAAAUUCAAUUUUUGCCUCCAGCACAAAGCUUGGAUAUUUUUUGCUCGAGCCUCUGGAUUUCAGCUGCUGUGCGUGCCCUUUCCUCUUUCUAAAGGGCCAUCGAGACAUACCAUAUUUCCGGCAUAUCUUCUUCACUACAGUGGGACAUAUGUUCAUUAGCCUUGCAGCCUCUUCAAUAGGGAGAUGGAAGUAAGGAUCAAAGUCUUUCAGUGUCAACUUCCCUGUCCUUUCCCUCUGUUGGGCAAGAAUGGAUUUUGAAGAUCUCAGUGGCUCAUUCCCUCCUUCCGUUUG